AGGAGCAACAGCCCUAGUGGCAGGGCCAGCUCUGCAGCCCUGGAAUCAGCUCCAGCAGGAACUCCGUCUGUAGGGCCUGGAGGCUCCAGGGUGGG
This 95-nucleotide microRNA precursor is filed under the name Canis lupus familiaris (dog). RNAcentral's name for it is "mir-8834 microRNA precursor family". It matches the Rfam family "mir-8834 microRNA precursor family". The record is from Rfam by way of RNAcentral. Lineage: Eukaryota; Metazoa; Chordata; Mammalia; Carnivora; Canidae.